GACCAUUUUGCUUGCCCUCCUCUGGACACGUUCCAGUUUGUCAGUGUCCUUCUUGAACUGUGGUGCCCAGAACUGGACACAGUACUCCAGGUGAGGUCUGACCAGAGCAGAAUACAGUGGCACUAUUACUUCCCUUGAUCUAGAUGCAAUACUCCUAUUGAUGAGGCCCAGAAUUGCAUUGGCUUUUUUAGCUGCCGUGUCACACUGUUGGCUCAUGUCAAGUUUGUGGUCAACCAAGACUCCUAGAUCCUUUUCACAUGUACUGCUCUCAAGCCAGGUGUCCCCCAUCUUGUAUUUGUGCCUCUCAUUUUUUUUGCCCAAGUGCAAUACUUUACAUUUCUCCCUGUUCAAAUUCAUCUUGUUUGUUUUGGCCCAGUUCUCUAAUCUGUCAAGGUCGUUUUGAAGUGUGAUCCUGUCCUCUGGGGUGUUAGCCACCCCUCCCAGUUUGGUGUCAUCUGCAAAUUUGAUCAGGAUGCCCUUGAGUCCAUCAUCCAAGUCGUUGAUAAAGAUGUUGAAUAAGACCAGGCCCAAGACAG
This 536-nucleotide long non-coding RNA is filed under the name Podarcis lilfordi (Lilford's wall lizard). Lineage: Eukaryota; Metazoa; Chordata; Lepidosauria; Squamata; Lacertidae. The record is from RNAcentral.